This is a long non-coding RNA of Polyodon spathula (Mississippi paddlefish), 409 nucleotides long. RefSeq lists it as uncharacterized. The record is from RefSeq and is a predicted model, not a curated record. The transcript has 3 exons. NCBI's taxonomy places the organism in Eukaryota, Metazoa, Chordata, Actinopteri, Acipenseriformes, Polyodontidae.
UGAUUAACUAGCAACCAGAAGAACAAACAAAAAGAGAGAAAGAAAGAUAUGUAUGCUGUGUAUCUUUAAAAUGCUUUGCAAAACAAUGUCUUUGGUAUUUCUAUCACUGAGGCCCAUCUGUGCAACUGCUGGGGGUAAAACACGAACCGGAGUCACAUAAAAGUUGUGCAUCACAGCCCCUGAUCCGAUGCUAUAAGCCAUGCAUGCACCAUCGCUCCAGUUUUCUUAUUCAGUGAGGCGUUCUGCUUGCUAAUUUGAACCUGAGGACUCCCCCAGCUGAGACAAUGGACACUGGGGUCGCCCCCACCAGCUUCCAGCCAGUGGAUUAGCCCCCACCCCCAGCUCCUGAACUGCACCCCACCACCCUCCCUUGGAAAAUGUACUUUUGCCCAGUAUUUCUGCAGUUUUC